GCUGCAGCCCCUAAUACUCUCCAUUGCCCCUUGGAGAGGGAGGGAAUGAGGCAGAAAUGUCGAGCAGUAGCAGGUUGUUGCUCAGAGGGAAGAGAAGGUAGAAGUUUGAUCUUGUGAAACACGUUCCAAAGUUCCUAAGGAAAGUAUUCCGCUGAGCCUCGUUGCAAACUGGCCAUUAGCAGGAUUACAUCUUUAUAUCCACAGAGCAAAUAAGUGGAACUGAAAGGAACACUUUCAGAGGAAGGAGAAUCACUCCCUGAACUGUUUUAGAUGUUAGCAGCAGCAAGACACAAACAAUGCAGACACGUUGAGAGGUACCCUGUCAGGAGGAAUGUUGCCUUUCAUUUGAUGAUCGUUUUUGCAGACAAAAAAGGAGAAAUGUGCUGUGUCUCCGCUGUCGAAGAGCCAGACGCAAGCAGACCAACCUGGAUACGUGUGCGGAGAGGCCACACGUGGGGAGCGACACAGCCAACGGCAAACAAGGACAGCUGGUGUGUGGUGAGUCUCUGGGCCUGAUUCUCUUCUCUUUCCCAGCCCUACACUUUGUGGAAAUGGACCUUCCGUUUUAGCCUAAUAACGAGUCCAGAAUGCAGUAUAAUGAGUGUGAGUGCUGUCAGACAGCAGACCUUAAAGUUUUCUCAGCCUUUCAACAGACAUGGGCAGACUUCUGGCCCUUUUGCCUGGAGCUUUGAUUAAACUCUUGCUAAAGUUUCCCUUUGUUGAUAUGUUCCCUUUCAGGCAGAGGUGAAGAGUAGGGGGAAAAGCAGCCUGUGUCUGAGAGCAUGCAGGCUCCCAUCUCUGUGCCUAAUAACGCCGUGGAGAUCUGAGCAACUUGUUGCCUUUUCCUGCUCAGUGUCUUGUCUGGCUGGGUCGUGUGGCUUCUGAAAUGCCUUGCUUAGUGAGGGCACUGACUGUGAUGAUUGGCAGCUGUGCCAUGUCAGAAGACCAAACUGGCUCAAUCCACGGCAGGGAACUUUAAAGCCUUAAAAAGAGCAGAAUCUCCACUGCUCACAGGAGGCCAUUAAUGAUUUUCUGCUUUUGAAUCUAAGUUUAGGAUGUACCAUUAGGAUCCCAGAUAACCUUAUCAGAGAUGUCAAAAGGAGUUAGUAAGNNNNNNNNNNNNNNNNNNNNNNNNNNNNNNAAAGAAAGAAAAAGAAAAGAUGCAGAUACAGGGGAAAAUACUAUCGCAGGGAGGGCUCUCCUAGCCUCUGAAGGAGCAUUAACAAGCAUUAAUAGAUACUGGAAGGCAGUAUGUUAAUAACAGAAUAUUGGUGUUUAUCAGGCACUGUGGGUUGGGUGAAACGUCUGAUCACAGUGCUGAUAGUGAGGCCAUGAGAUGUGUUUCAAAUUGGCUGCAGAUUGUAAUUAUCUUUUUCCCCUGGCUUUUUUUUUUCCUCUUUCCUCCUCCCAUUCUGAUAUGCCACUCUCAGUGCUUAAACAUGUUUUUUCCUGUCAGGAUUCAGGAGUAAAGCGAAGCCAUUUCUGAUCUUUCACCAUGACUAGUGGUUCCUGAAUCUUGUUAAUGUUGUCAGAUCUUAUCAGAAAAACGACACAGACGUCUGCAUCAGCCCUCUGCACUGCCUGACAGUGGCUGCCACCACCCCGAAACAUGGGGACAGAAGGAAGUGGCAUCUCUGUCUGUUAUCUUUAGCUAGCACAAGUCAUGACGCAAAAGGUGUGUUAAACUUUUCCCAUGUAUAUUUCCUGCAGAACUUAUACAGUACUCUAAAAUAAUAGAAAGAGGAAAGGUGACUAAUUCAUUUGCAAUUAAAGGUUUCUUCUUUCAGGCAGCCAUCAACGUGAAUUGCAGCUGUUGCUCCACUGCAGUCUGCUGCAGCUCGCCAUGGACCAAGCACUGCUUGGCUGCAGUCACAACGCACGUGAGAAUGCCAUUAGCAUUUAAUCCUAAUUACCUUACGUGGUAAGUGCUACUGUGUCAUCUUAUCCUCCUUUCACCAUGUAGCCAUACCUAAAACCCAGAUUUCAACCUAUUUAGUGCUAGAUUCUCUUCUUGCUGCCCUGUAAGGAGUACUUCUAUUAAGCUUGGAAGAAUGAUUAGGCUCUUUAGGUGAGGCAAAAAGCAGGCUCUCAAAGUAAGCCUCUGCCUGCCUUUUUAUUUUUUCUUUCUUUCUUUUCCUUCUAAAUCUGCCUUCUUCAAGCUAAUCCAAGACCAGUAGUCUUAAUUCUGAAGAGUAUAAGAGUUUUCAUGAGUACCUGUGACUUUUCUCACAAGUUGAGAUAUCUCUUGCUUCUUACCUCCCAUCCAUGUGUUAGGAAGUUUUAAUGAUCCAGUGGAGAUACUAGAAUAUAGCAGGAUGAUGAAGGAAGAUAAAGAUAUGAGAAGAGAAGUUGGGAAUCAGUGGACAAGGGCCUUCUAGGUAGCUUACUCCUCUGCCUGCUUAGUAGAUUAUGCGAGACUUCCAAGCUUCUGGGCUGCACCAUGCUCCUUUUCAAAAGGAGUGUUUCACUCUGACCAUGUUAGGGCAACCUCUCAGACCUGAGGGAGGUUCCCAGAUACUUGUAGGGGGAAUCUGAUAAUAAACGAUAGUCAUGAGUAUCUUAAAGUUUAAUC
Anser brachyrhynchus (Pink-footed goose) is the source of this 2572-nucleotide long non-coding RNA. NCBI's taxonomy places the organism in Eukaryota, Metazoa, Chordata, Aves, Anseriformes, Anatidae. The record is from Ensembl.